This 458-nucleotide ribosomal RNA is filed under the name uncultured bacterium. RNAcentral describes it as "partial 16S ribosomal RNA". It matches the Rfam family "Bacterial small subunit ribosomal RNA", at positions 338 to 795 of the family's 1533-position model. The record is from RNAcentral.
CCUACGGGAGGCAGCAGUGAGGAAUAUUGGUCAAUGGGCGGAAGCCUGAACCAGCCAAGUAGCGUGCGGGAUUAAGGCCCUACGGGUCGUAAACCGCUUUUGCACGGGGAUAACACCCUCCACUUGAGCAGGUCUGCAGGUAACGUGCGAAUAAGGGCCGGUAAAUCCCGUGCCCGCAGCCGCGGUAAUACGGGAGGCCCGAGCGUUAUCCGGAUUCAUUGGGCUUAAGGGGAGCCUAGGCGGGCGUUCAAGUCAGCGGAAAAUCGCGCGGCUCAACCGCGCCCCGCAGUUGAAAGUGGACGCCUUGAGUACCCGACAGGCAGGCGGAAUUCGUGGUGUAGCGGUGAAAUGCAUAGAUAUCACGAAGAACCCCGAUUGCGAAGGCAGCCUACCGGGGGGUGACUGACGCUGAGGCACGAAGGUGCGGGUAUCGAACAGGAUUAGAUACCCUUGUAGUC